RNAcentral lists this ribosomal RNA (253 nucleotides) under uncultured bacterium. RNAcentral describes it as "partial 16S ribosomal RNA". It matches the Rfam family "Bacterial small subunit ribosomal RNA", at positions 524 to 776 of the family's 1533-position model. The record is from RNAcentral.
UACGAAGGUGGCUAGCGUUGUUCGGAUUUACUGGGCGUAAAGCGCACGUAGGCGGACUAUUAAGUCAGGGGUGAAAUCCCGGGGCUCAACCCCGGAACUGCCUUUGAUACUGGUAGUCUUGAGUUCGAGAGAGGUGAGUGGAAUUCCGAGUGUAGAGGUGAAAUUCGUAGAUAUUCGGAGGAACACCAGUGGCGAAGGCGGCUCACUGGCUCGAUACUGACGCUGAGGUGCGAAAGCGUGGGGAGCAAACAGG